AGGACGAACGCUGGCGGCGUGCUUAACACAUGCAAGUCGAACGGUGAUCUUGGGGCUUGCCUCGGGUGAUCAGUGGCGAACGGGUGAGUAACACGUGAGUAACCUGCCCCUGGCUCUGGGAUAACUACCGGAAACGGAAGCUAAUACCGGAUAUGACACAGACAGGCAUCUGUUCUGUGUGGAAAGUUUUUCGGCCAGGGAUGGACUCGCGGCCUAUCAGCUUGUUGGUGGGGUAAUGGCCCACCAAGGCGACGACGGGUA
RNAcentral lists this ribosomal RNA (261 nucleotides) under uncultured bacterium. Its description in RNAcentral is "partial small subunit ribosomal RNA". It matches the Rfam family "Bacterial small subunit ribosomal RNA", at positions 26 to 285 of the family's 1533-position model. The record is from RNAcentral.